Molecule: long non-coding RNA, 221 nt
Filed under: Musa acuminata (dwarf banana)
Lineage: Eukaryota; Viridiplantae; Streptophyta; Magnoliopsida; Zingiberales; Musaceae
Description: long non-coding RNA (MACU_LNC004672)
Source: RNAcentral
UUUUCAACUCUUUUUCGUCAAGGAUUCUUUCCCCCUUUCUACCCUUUUUUUCUUGGUUUGUUAAGCAGGAAAUAUUUUAGUAUUUAUAGAUCCCAAAUGAUUUAAAAAAUUAGAACAAAAAAUUAAAUCAUCGAGAUUUUAAGGUAUUGGCGGUACCACCGCUUAACACAGGCUCAGAGAUUGUGUCUUAGAGACUGAGCCACUAUUGGUUCCACCACUCG